Molecule: ribosomal RNA, 300 nt
Filed under: uncultured Desulfurococcus sp.
Lineage: Archaea; Thermoproteati; Thermoproteota; Thermoprotei; Desulfurococcales; Desulfurococcaceae
Description: bacterial SSU rRNA
Rfam family: Bacterial small subunit ribosomal RNA
Source: RNAcentral
GCAACGGCCGGGCCAGAGGGGGCGGUAAUACGGAGGGUGCAAACGUUGCUCGGAAUCAGUGGGCGUAAAGCGCACGUAGGCGGCGCGUUAAGUCGGAUGUGAAAGCCCCGGGCUCAACCCGGGAAGGGCAUACGAAACUGGCGCGCUUGAAUAUGGAAGAGGGUCGCGGAAUUCCCGGUGUAGAGGUGAAAUUCGUAGAUAUCGGGAGGAACACCAGUGGCGAAGGCGGCGACCUGGGCCAAUAUUGACGCUGAGGUGCGAAAGCGUGGGGAGCAAACAGGAUUAGAUACCCGGGUCGUC